UAAAAAGCUCGUAGUUGGAUCUGUGUAUCGGACGGUCGGUUCGCCGCUCGCGGCGUUUAACUGACCGGUCCGGACGUCCUGCCGGUGGGCUUCCGGCCCUUCGCGGGGCCGGUCGCCCGUUAACCUUCCCUCCGGGCUGCUCUUAACCGAGUGGCGCGGUGGGCCGGCACGUUUACUUUGAACAAAUUUGAGUGCUCAAAGCAGGCCUCGAGUUGCCUGAAAACUGUGUGCAUGGAAUAAUGGAAUAGGGCCUCUUCUCUAUUUUGUUGGCUUUUCUGAGAUAGAGGUAAUGAUUAAUAGGGACAGACGGGGGCAUUCGUAUUGCGACGUUAGAGGUGAAAUUCUUGGAUCGUCGCAAGACGGACGGAUGCGAAAGCGUUUGCCAAGAAUGUUUUCGCUAAUCAAGAACGAAAGUUAGAGGUUCGAAGGCGAUCAGAUACCGCCCUAGUUCUAACCAUAAACGAUGCCAGCCAGCGAUGCGCCGACGUUCCUCCGAUGACUCGGCGCGCAGCUUCCGGGAAACCAAAGCUUUUGGGUUCCGGGG
This 544-nucleotide ribosomal RNA is filed under the name Ephemerella atagosana. RNAcentral's name for it is "bacterial SSU rRNA". It matches the Rfam family "Eukaryotic small subunit ribosomal RNA", at positions 620 to 1119 of the family's 1831-position model. The record is from RNAcentral. Lineage: Eukaryota; Metazoa; Arthropoda; Insecta; Ephemeroptera; Ephemerellidae. RNAcentral also lists the same sequence under 1 other name.